Molecule: long non-coding RNA, 1656 nt
Filed under: Physcomitrium patens
Lineage: Eukaryota; Viridiplantae; Streptophyta; Bryopsida; Funariales; Funariaceae
Description: long non-coding RNA (PPAT_LNC008230)
Source: RNAcentral
UCACAUCUUUGACUACCUUAAAUAUUAGUUGGUGCUUAAGCUUGACAUCAUUACCAAAUGAAUUGGGGAACCACUCAUCUUUGACUACCUUAAAUUUGGAGAGGUGCUCAAGGUUGACAUCAUUGCCAAAUGAAUUGGGCAACCUCACAUCUUUGACUACCUUAAAUAUGAGGAGGUGCUCAAGCUUGACAUCAUUGCCAAAUGAAUUGGGCAACCUCUCAUCUUUGACUACCUUAGAUAUUAGUUGGUGCUCAAGCUUGACAUCAUUGCCAAAUAAAUUGGGGAACCACUCAUCUUUGACUACCUUGAAUAUGGAGGUUUAUAUCUCCAAUCAUUUUUAAUCAUAAAAUUAAUAAUAAUUAAUAAUAAUUUUUAAUAAAUAAAAUUAAACAUAGAAAAUGAUAAAUUAUUUUGUUAGAAGCUAUUAUGAAAUUGUUUGAAAUUAGAAAUUCAUUUCUAAGUAAUAAUCUAAUUAUCUAUCUAUCUAUCUAUCUAUAUAUAUAUAUAUAUAUAUAUUUAUAUUUAUUUGUAUGUUAUAAAUUUUAUUUCAUUUAAAAUUUUAAUAUAUAUUUUUUUAAUGUUAUAUAUAUAAGGAGUAGAAAAAUAAAUAGUUUGUAGAAAAUGAUAAUUUUAAAAAGAAUAAGAAGAAAUCUAUUUGAUAAAAUGAUAAUCCAAUUUCCAUAUUGUAUUUUAGAUUUAGAAAAUAAAAUUAAAACUAUAAUAAAUAAAUAAAUAAAUAAAAACACGAUCUUCAUGAAAAAUGAAUUAAAUAAAUAUUAAUAAAAAAAGAAAAUAAACAAGAAAACAAGACCUUAUUGCAUAAGAAAUAUUCAAAAAUAAUAGUAUUUUUUAAUAACUAAAGUAUUGAAAACUUUCUACAUUGUAUAAUUUGACUCCAAUAAAAUAUAGCUAAAUUCUCUCAUCUUCAUAAAGACAUAUAUAUAUAUAUAUAUAUAUAUAUUUGUUACUUUAUAAGUUGAUUAUAAUUUUUAAUUGUUUUAAUUUUUUAAUUUUUUUGCUGCCAAGAUAAACCUUGUGGUGCACUUGAAAUGUAGAUUACCAACUUCUUUGGUGCUAUUUUACAAUCUUGGAUACAACAUGCAAUCUUUUUGUAGUUUAAAAUCCUUAUAAACUAGUCAAAUUAAAUUUAGUGGAGAUUUUUCCAACUACAAUUCUUUGCUCCCUGUUAUUCACUGCAAACUGAAAGAACUACUGAAUAUUCACCAAUACGUUGAGGUCAUCAACAGCUCGGACAACUUCAAGAAUUGUGAAAUCACCGAUAGGCUCAAAGAGGUCGUUAUUGACUAAUAUUAAUUGAGCUUCAGCACCUUGAUGGCAACUAAGGAAUCAUGAACUUGAAGAGUUUUGGAAGCAACAUGAAUUAGGGAGACAUUAACAGUGGAAUUUAAGACCAAAAUCAAUUGAUGAUGAGCUCAUUAUCAAGCUCGAUUGUCAGCCUUGAAUCUGAUCUCCGUUGUAAUGAUUUUUGCUUUGCUAACGCUUGCUUUUGUUAAUGUGAUUAGAAUCUACAAAACUUAGUGGUGGAUUUAAGUUCAUGGCAAUAACGAUUACCUCAACCUUUAGAAUACACCAAGGCAUUUCUUUAGCACAUUCAGAUCACUUGUAUAGUAAAAAAUUCUUCACUCAUUGUUACUA